Molecule: long non-coding RNA, 5208 nt
Filed under: Diabrotica virgifera virgifera (western corn rootworm)
Lineage: Eukaryota; Metazoa; Arthropoda; Insecta; Coleoptera; Chrysomelidae
Description: uncharacterized LOC126892082
Source: RNAcentral
CAUAACAUAACCGAUAACCUAAAAAUUUAGUAAAGUAAAAAUUUUGAUUGGAAAAAAGUGCAUCGAUAAGGGGGUGUGGGAAAUGGAAAUUAGUGGCUUUUUUGCUGUACUGUCUGCUUCUGCUAGUUUUUGCUCUGGGCUCUGGCUAGAUCUCUUGUUUAAACAAUUUUAAUCAGCUGAAAGUGGCCUACAAAAAAAAACCAAGAAGGAAAUGUAUAGCCUUGUGGCUAUGAAAGGCAAAAGAGAGAUAUAAAAAGUGUAUUGGCUAGUUGGAAGAAAGUCCACAUUGUCCAUGCAUAAUAAGUUAUUACUUUAUCAACAAAUAUCAAGAAGAUAGCAGGGUCACGAGCAUCAACUUCAUAAGUUCAAGAAUAUCGAGGAAAUCCAGCUCCUCGAUACUACUGGGCAAACUAGAAGAUUGAAGAGGACAAAUCCUUUUGAACUAGUUUGAGUGAUAGGUGAUAGUGAAAAACGGAGCAUAGUGCUUGUGUGCUGUGCCUGUGUAUGUUAGAAUAAUAGUGCACGAUCUUGUUAGAUUAGAUAAGAGACGCUAUGGGGUAAGCUCUUCAUUUUAAGAAACAGUAGUAAUUUAGGUUAAAUUAAAAUUGCUCAUUGGUCAGUUAUGACCAGAUUGUUUUUUUAUGUUUGGCAAAAAGGACUUAAGUCAGAAUUGCACAUUGAUAAUGUUUUGAUGAUUUCUGGACCAGAAAAAAACUGUUGUAGAUGUAAACUGUAUGUACAGUAGAAUCUACUACAGUACUGUAGAAAUCAUCAAAACAUUAUCGAUGUGCAAUUCUGACUUAAGCCCUUUUUCCCAAACAUCAGAGAAUUGUAAUGUACAAUAAUUCUCCUAUCUGCUUUUUCAUGAAUUUUGUAGGAGACGAAAAACCAUUUUUAGGAUCAUCUGCUUUCACAUGUAAAUUUUGACAUGUUUUGUAGUAAAUAGAUAGUUUACUACAAAAUAUGUAGUUUACUACAAAAUAGAGAAUUUACUACAAAACAUGUCAAAAAAUAUAUGAAAACAGGAGGUGACUAUAAAAAAAGUUUUUAGUCUCUCUUACAAAACUCAUGAAAAAACAAAUCGGAGGUAUGUCACAUCAGUGACUAAGAAUGUCUAAAAAAUAUACUUUGAUGUCCCAAGAACCAAAUAUAACCUACAGUCCAUCUAAUUUACUUACUGUUCCACGUCAUUAUCUACGCCAGAGAUCUAAGUUGACAUAGUUGCCAAAGUAUAAAAAGAUCCUGAAUCCAUUUUAAAUCAAAUAUGUCACAUAAUUAUUGUAAACGUGGAUUAUACAACAAAACAAAUUAAUAUUCAAUGUAAAUAAGUAAAAACUUAAGAAAUAGAGAACAAGAAUUAAGUUAUAAUCUUUUAAGAUUUGCAGUGCAAGAGUUUUUGCACUGCAUUGUUAAUAAUUAAAAAACGGCUCCGAACUCUUGGCAAAAAGCCGGUAGGUUUCUUUGUAUAAGUAUGUCUACAAUAACAACUAAAAAAGUUGUCAGAUACCUCGAUUAUUCCAAGUCGUUAUAAAAUUAGGUGAAAUUUAUAUUUUUAUAGUAGAGGAUCUUUUUAUAGUAAAGUAAAUAAUAAAAACAGUAAAUAUAAUAAAUAAAACAGAUACUUAUAGUAAAGAAUAUAAACAAAUAUGAAGUGUCAUCACCGUAACUGUCAAAUAAAUGUUACCAAUUUAUUCUAAAAUGUCACCUUCGUUCGAUUACAGUUACAGUGUGAUCCGAACAAAUCUGCUUCAUAAAAACGCUUUAUAAUCCAUUUAUACAAAUUAAAUGAAACAUAUUAUUGUGUAUUUCUUUAGGUUAACAUUAAUAGAAAUCUUCAAAUAUUAUUUCUACGCGUAUAUAAUAAAAUAUGUCUAGUGGCUGUAAUUCCAGUGUACUCGGCAAAGUGAUUCUAAAAAAGAACACACCUACCGCCUAAAUAUUUCGUGUUGGUAUCAUGCGACCUCACAGGCUACGACGCGGAUGACGCGCAACAGUUAGUAAAUUAGACGAAGUAUGUAGAUAUAUACAGGGUGUAACAAAAAUACAGGUCAUAAAUUUAAUCACAUAUUCUGGGACCAAAAAUAGUUUGAUUGGACCUAACUUACCUUAGUACAAAUGUGCACACAAGAAAAGUUACAGCCCUUUGAAGUUAUAUAUAUAUAUAAUAGCACCAAGGGUCUUAGAGGCCCAUGGCUUGAAAAGUUUGUUUUUUUUCUUCAUUUUCACGUUUCUUUAUGUACUGAGAUCUUCUCUGGCUUGAUAUGUGAUUUUUCUCCAUUCCUUCCUGUUAUUCAUUUUUCUUUUCUGACCCUGUAGCACCAUUCUUUCCAAAUCUUUUUCGACCUCUUGCUUCCAUCUAUUUUUCGGCCUUCCUCUUCUCUUUCUUGAAGCUGUAGUGUAGUUUAGUACCAUUUUUGGAGUCCUCGUGUUUGGCAUCCUUUCAAUGUGACCUCGCCAUCUAAGUCUCUGUGCCUUUAUCACUCAUUUGAAGUUACAAGAUGAAGUGAUUUUUUCCAAUAUAUCGAAAACUAUUAGAGAUUUUUUAUUGAAAAUGGACAUGUGGCAUUAUUAUGGCAGCAGUAUCUUACGAAAAAACUAUAGUAAAAUUUGGACACCCCAUAAAAAUUUUAUGGGGGUUUUGUUCCUUUAAACCCCCCCAAACUUUUGUGCACGUUUCAAUUUAAUUAUUAUUGUAGUACCAUUUAAACACAACGUUUUAAAAACUUUUUUGCCUCUUAUUGCUUUUUCAAAAAGUCAAUUUUUAUCGAAAUAUUUUGAAUAUUUGUCAAAUCCACCACAUAUUUGUAUAUGGUUAAGUACGAUUAUGGAAACUUGGUAAUAAUAUGCAGACUUAUUUAUGCUUUACAUUUUUAGGGAUAUUUUGAACCAUAUUAAAAAAGAAGCCAGAUCUCGAUAAAAUGUGCCUUAUCGAAAAAAUACAAAGAGGCAAAAAAGUUUUAAAAACAUUCUGUUUAACUAAUGGUACCUCAGUAAUAGUUUAAUUGGAACGUACACAAACAUUUGGGGGGUUUAAAGGAACAAAACCCCCAUAAAAUUUUUAUGUAGACAUGUUAAAAAAGAAGUCACAACUCGAUAAAAACUGCCUUAUCUGAAAAAUACUAAGAAACAAAAAUAUUGAAUUUAACUAAUGGUACCACAAUAAUAAAAUUGAAUUGGAACAUACACAAAAGUUUGGGAGGAUCUAAGGGAUCAAAACCCCCAUAAAAUUUUUAUGGGGUGCACAAAUUUCACCAUAAUUUUUCUUUAAGAUAUUCCUGCCAUAAUACUGCCACAUGUCCAUUUUCAAUAAAAAAUCGCUAAUAGUUUUUGAUAUAAUCGAAAAAAUCGAUUUUCAUUUUGUAAUUUCAAAGGGCUGUAACUUUUUUUAUGUGCAUAUUUGUACUAAGGUAAGUUAGGUUCAUUCAAACUAUUUUUGGUCCCAGAAUAUGUGAUUUAAUUUAUGACGUGUAUUUUUGUUACACCCUGUAUAUACAGCCGAUUACGCACCACCUUAAAAAUUGGGCAUUUUUGAUGUCUCGAAUUUCCUAAACCUGUUGUUGCAUCUAAGUGAUUUUUUUAUAAUAUUCUAGCCUAGGCCCUAGGCUAUAGGUUAAGUACCUCCUUAUGCUUGUCAUGCACGGGGAGCUAUACUGUAAUAUAUAUUAUAUCACAUCGCACUCUAUAGUAAUGAGUGAGCCUGCACAUAUGGAACCAUUUGUUUUCUGUCUGCAGGCUCACUCAUUACUAUAGAGAGCGAUAUGAUAUAAUGUACAUAUAUUACAGCAUAGCUCCCUGUGCAUGACAAGCUUAAGGAGGUAACCUAUAGCCUAGGCUAUAAUAUUAUAAAAAAAUCACUUAGAUGAAACAACAGGUUUAGGAAAUACGAGACAUCAAAAAUACCCCAUAUUUAAGGUGGUGCGUUAAUUUCUUGGAGAAGUGUAUUGUAAUUUAAUGUAAAUAAUGUAAUAUCCAAUAAUUGUAAUUUAAUAUAAGAUGUAAUAUAAGUUCCUUAAAAAAUAUAUUUUUUAUUUCCCACGACAUUAGAUGGAUGUUCGGCAGCAAGACAUUGGACCAAACUGGGACGUCCUAUGAAGGCCCAAUUGACGUCCACCGAACGUCCCUUCGGAUGUUAAGUGGACCUCCAUUGGGCGUUUGGCAACGUGGCAUUUGGACCAAAAUUGGACGUCCUGUUAAAGUCCAAUUCACGUCCCCUAGAACGUCCGGUUAAGGUCCAAUUUACUUCCGAUUAAGGUCCAAUUUACGUCCGAUUAAGGUCCCAUUUACGUCCAAUUAAGGUCCAAUUUACGUCCUAUUAAGGUCCAAUUUACGUCCUAUUAAGGUCCAAUUUACGUCCGAUUAAGGUCCAAUUUACGUCCGAUUAAGGUCCAAUUUACGUCCGAUUAAGGUCCCAUUUACGUCCGAUUAAGGUCCAAUUUACGUCCUAUUAAAGUCCAAUUUACGUCCGGUUAAGGUCCAAUUUACGUCCGAUUAAGGUCCCAUUUACGUCCCAUUAAGGUCCAAUUUACGUCCUAUUAAGGUCCAAUUUACGUCCGAUUAAGGUCCAAUUUACGUCCGAUUAAGGUCCAAUUUAUGUCCGAUUAAGGUCCAAUUUACGUCCGAUUAAGGUCCAAUUUAUGUCCGAUUAAGGUCCAAUUUACGUCCGAUUAAGGUCCAAUUUACGUCCCCUAGGACGUCCGAUCAAGGUCCAAAUUACGUCCGAUUAAGGUCCAAUAUACGUCCCCUCGGACCUUAGAUGGACGUCCAAUGGACGUUCGGUAGCGCGACAUUUGGACCAAAAUAGGACGUAUAAAGGACGUUCCUCGGACGAAAACGGACGUCCAAUGGACGUCCCUAAAGUCCGUGAAGGACGUCCAUUGGACGUCCUUGUGCUAUUAGGGUAUUUGGUCCGAGGAUAUUCUUUGAAGUAUAUGCAAAAAACAUGAAAUUUAGAAUGUUUUUAUAGUAUAUGCUAUGCUUCUACUACACACAUACUAAAAAGAAUAUAUUCCGACGAAUGUUGGUAGUAUAAUAUGCUUCGAACAUGAUGGAAAGAUCAUUGUAAUGUAGUAUAAUGUUGAUAAUUUUAUUUUUAUUGGACUGCAGUUUGUUAAUAAAUUUAUAAAUAAAUAGGUAUAUUAUAUUGGUGACUGAUUUAAGUAUUUUAUUAUUAUUAGCAGUUUAUUAAUAAAUUUAUAAAUAGAUACAUGA